GUUUCACUUUGGACCAGAGUGGGAAAGCUCCAGAAUUCAGCCUCUUAUUAAGUAGAAUCAUGAAAUGAUAAAAGAGUUCUUUAUAAACUGGCACUGCAGAAGGAUGUGAUGACAUCAGGAAGCUUGGAUUCUAAAAAAGCUGAUGGUCCUUGCCUGGGAAAGCUUCCUUCUCAUCUCAGGUAAGA
Chrysemys picta bellii (western painted turtle) is the source of this 185-nucleotide non-coding RNA. NCBI's taxonomy places the organism in Eukaryota, Metazoa, Chordata, Testudines, Emydidae. The record is from RefSeq and is a predicted model, not a curated record.